CAGUAGCCGCGGGAAAACGGAGGGUGCAAGCGUUAAUCGGAAUUACUGGGCGUAAAGCGCACGCAGGCGGUCUGUCAAGUCAGAUGUGAAAUCCCCGGGCUUAACCUGGGAACUGCAUUUGAAACUGGCAGGCUAGAGUCUUGUAGAGGGGGGUAGAAUUCCAGGUGUAGCGGUGAAAUGCGUAGAGAUCUGGAGGAAUACCGAUGGCGAAGGCAGCCAUCUGGCCUAAUACUGACGCUGAGGUACGAAAGCAUGGGGAGCAAACAGGAUUAGAUACCCCUGUAGUCCCUGUCUCUUAUAC
RNAcentral lists this ribosomal RNA (301 nucleotides) under uncultured bacterium. Its description in RNAcentral is "partial 16S ribosomal RNA". It matches the Rfam family "Bacterial small subunit ribosomal RNA", at positions 509 to 807 of the family's 1533-position model. The record is from RNAcentral.